GGAUCAAAUUUGGUAGACUUUCAGCAUCAUCAGGUUAUUCUUAGAGCAGAAUUUGGAAUGAAAUUGAUUCAUAUCAACCAAUUCCUUAAAAAAAUUUUUUUUAAGUAAAACUGUGUAAGUCCUGUGCAUGUCUCUGCUGGAAGGGAGAGGAACUACAGCUGGGCCUCGUGCCUUCUUGGUGAUCAGUUAAUCACCCUAUUUAGGUUUCACAUAAAGGCACUGUUAUCUUUCCAUAAGUGAGAAAAAUGUGUUCAAAGUGAAAUGACUGCCCAAAGUCAUACUGUAAGUAGCAAACCAUCCAUGGAUCCAGAGUCCAUUCUUUCUGCCUUCAAAGCUUUCAGUUAUGCUGCAGUGUUUUCUGGGUGAAAUACUAGGAUUUAAACAGAUGCUUAGAGUUUUUGUGUUGAGCCUGUAGUUGUUCUUGGAUCUUGUUUAAACUAGUACCAUCUAAAGUGAAUACCUGUGUCCAUUCUUUUCCAGGUUUUGCUGUUACCACUCAAGAUACCAUACCUUGAAUAAUACAGGAACACUGAAUAAGGUUAUAAUAAUACUCAGGACACUGAUAAGAUCUCAAGCUGUAACUAUGUGCUGGGCAGACAAGCAGGGAAGACAUUGUGAGCAGAAGGAACACUCUAUCCCAAGGACUGAAACCUUACCAUGUGUAUUCAGGCAUUGAUGCCCACUGCAAAGAGAGGUCAUGGAGAUGAAAGUGCUCAGGAUGUCCAGCACACGGUAAGUAGCUUAAUAGGUGAGCCUACCUCAUUGUGAUUAUUUUUCAGUUUCCUAUGUGUUUUCAAUCCCACUGCUUAAUUGAGCAUUGGGUUUGGUGAUAUGUGGCUUUAUAUUUCCUUUACCUCAGCUAGGAACAGUAUAAGGAUUACAUGCUCAGGCUCUGGAGUUUGCCCAGACCUAGCCUUGAAUCCUGGCAGAGCCAAUUGCUGAUGGAGUGAGAGUCUUCUCAUGCUCUGGAUAAUGGAAAAAAGCUCUCUGUAAAAUUGAAGCUGCAGCUGGAUGAAGAUGGAAAUGCUCUCUACAGGCUCAAGCCUAACCUGGCCCUGUGGAGUGUCAUAACUCCAGAAGGAAAGGGCCACAUACCUUGCAGCUAUGUUAACUUGCCAAAGUCCCCAGCAGGUCUCAUUUCUUUCUCAGUGGGGAUUAGAGGUAAGGUGGCCAGCACUCACAAAAUGAAAAAAUCAAAGGUCUCUUUAUGAAUGGAGUGGGCACAGGGCUUAAAGGAGCCAAACAGUGGGCAGUCUCAGUCUAUGGCCCAUAUUCACAUACUUGUUUCUGUAUGGGGAGAGCCCAAAGCACCCAAUGGGCUGAGCUGAGUACACUACUUCCAGAAAUAGUAUAUGCCCCUGACAAACAUUUUCCUAAGAUUUAUAUUUUUACCAACUCCUGGUUGUGGGUUAAUGGGCUCACCAAAAAGUUCUAUUUGACCAGAACUUCAGCAAAAUGUGGGAUGAGGACUGGACAUGAACCAACUCUGUGAUUGUGUCCACUCAUCAUCCAGCAUUUAGCUAAGCAGACUGCCUACUACCCUCUGGAGAGAAAGGCACUGUCGUCUGCCAUCCAAGUACUUUGCUCCACUGAUGACACUAAGGAACAAGUCUGAAUCUGCAAUGGAUACCUGUGGGAUCGAACUCAUCAUCCCAGACUGGCCAACACAAUUUGGACAAUGCCCAGAAGACAUUCCUCUACUGCUGGGUGCAGAUGACUCGGACUUCGACCCCUACUCUGUUGCUAUAUGUUUUCCUUACCCAAGUUCCUGUCCUUGCCGGUGUCAACUCCACAGCCACUGGUGUAUGUAUCAUCACUUAGUCCUAGAUCACUUAUUGGCUGCUGUAGGAAGUGGGUUCUGCACACUUAACACAUGUUGCUACAUGUUUUAAAGCUAGCCAGGGACAUGUAUUAAAGGGGCAUGUCCCUUUAAUAACAGUUUAUAGAUUAAGCAAAUUGAACAAAUCGAUUUUCUAAGUCUUCUGACAGACUGGCUGCAAACGGGCUUUGAAAUCCUUGUUUUUAUUUUCAUUGGAUGCUGGAACUUCAAAAUGCUUUUCCAUGGGCUCCAAACUAAAGCAUAAUGCAUUUACAUAUAACUAAAAUUAUAAAGCAACGUGGGCCCGAGGGAUGGAUUAUUAUUAUGAGCCAAAGAUAACUUCUUGUAUAUUGGCCUUCUGUUGUUUAACUUAGUAAUAGCAGCCUGGGACCCAUAAGCACAAAAGCCUGCGGAUGCCAAACUCAAAUUUUACCCCUACAAGAGUUUGAAACAUAGCUCAAAUAAGCAGAUUUUUAGCCAUUUGCAGGCUAUCUGGUAUGUAUACCCCAGGAAACCACACCUAACCUCUUCUAGCCAUAGAUAAACCCAGCAGCUAUAAAGCUGUUCAUGUUCCAUGUUCCAGAGACUCUAAGUGUUGCUACUGAGUGAUAUCACCUAAACACACAAGCACUCUCUCUCUCUGCUUUUCCUCUUCUCCCUUUGGAUGGACAGUUUUAUUCUAUGAAGGACUUCCUCAUCACGCCAACCUGUCCAGGUGUUAGUCAAAUACAGUUCACUAUGUGCUACUGCCACCUGGUGGUCAUAUCUUUUUCCAUGCUCAACCCCCAAAUCCUCCAACUUGCUUUAGCCUGUCUAGACAUUUAUCAGUUUUAUGCAUCUUUUCAAAAACUAGUUUGGGGUUUUGCUAUUUUUCUCUGUUGCUUUUCUGUUUUCUUUUUUAGUUGGUUUCUGCUGUAAUCUUUAUUAUUUCCUUAUUCUUCUUAAUUUGUAUUUCAUUUGUCCUUCUUUAGUUUCCUAAGGUAGAACAGCAAUUACAGAUUUGAGAUCUUUCUUCUUUUCCAAGCAGAGAUGUUUAGUG
Long non-coding RNA from Mustela erminea (ermine), 2858 nucleotides. RefSeq lists it as uncharacterized. The transcript has 3 exons. Lineage: Eukaryota; Metazoa; Chordata; Mammalia; Carnivora; Mustelidae. The record is from RefSeq and is a predicted model, not a curated record.